GAUAUCGAUUGCGUUUGCAAGUAUUUUCGUUGGCUCGAAAAUUAAUUUAUUAAAUUAUAUUCAAGUGCAUUAUACUUUCAACAGAGUCUAGCAAACAUAUUAUAAACCGGUAGUGAGUGUUAUUUGGAAGGGUUUUAAUGUAGUGCAUAAGUCUGAAAUUGCAUUCCUUGAAAGCUGAUCAACGUGUUGCGCUUUACCUUUGUGUGUUAAACAAAAAAUCCUUGAAAAAGCUUUUGCCGUAGGCAAGGGCACGUAGAAUCAUAAGCGCACCCCAAUCAUACAUGAAGGAAUUGUAAGAUAAGAAGCCACUGAUAAAACAACCAACAAAACGAGUUGCAGUGAAAAGUGUAGUUUUUCAUUCUAAAAAACAAAACGCAAGCACUAAAAUUGGACUACAAAAAAAAAGAAACAAUAAACCAAAUUAUAAAUUCAAAACGAAACGUUUCAUCCACUCAUCAACACUUUGGGGCACGUCAAAUUCAAUUUUCUAACAUUUUCGGAUUGUGAAGUGCGUCCAUUGGAUUGGGUUUGGUUAAUCAUACAUUGCCGUGCAGGGACAUCGCACAUCACUCCCACUACAAUCACCACUACCAUCACCACCACAACCACUACUAUUACUACUACUCCAACCACAGCCAAUAGUGCCCAUAUAGGUGAUUUAAUCACCAUACAUACAUACGUAAUUAGGUUGCAGGACAUCAUCGUCAUCUCAGCGCUUUGUUGUGCAUAUUUGUGGUAGCGCAUGUUGUAAAUUGACCGAAACAAAUAAGCAGCCAUAAGUAAGCUUCAAUAAAAAUUGCUUACACAAACCUAACCUGCAAAGAAAAAAAAUUUAAUAUUUAAAUUUGCAAACUGGGAGUCGCUUAUAUCGAUCAUAAACAAGCAAAUUGCUAAUUACACACACACGCACACACAGUGCUGCUCACCACAAUGAGUUUGUGGAAGAGUAUCGUACGCUCUCCGGAGCUUGAAAAGCGCAUGUCUCAGUACUACGAUGUCAAGGGCCUCGGCGAGAUACGCGUGCAAUUUGCAUCGUGGAUUGAAGAGUUCAUAAUGUCCCAUCACCAAUUGCCAACUAACCAGAAAAUCUUCGAACAAUUAGUCAACGCAUUCUACGACGGACUGAAACAGAAGCUCAUUACAUUGGAUGGUGAUAAUUUGUUAAAGUUUAAAAUUCGUGAAAUUUGCGCGCAUCUCGCACGAACAACACCCCUUGAACUAUACACGUACUUUCGUAACGGUUUACUUCGUGAAAUUCAGGCGUUGAAGGAAGGAAUGCCACAAAAUCCCUACAUGUAUAAUACAGCACUUGUUGGUGGCCAUGUGAAUGGAAUCGGCGGCAUGAAUGCAGGUAAUCCCUAUUUGAGCGGUGUCGGCGUCGGCGUUGGCGUUAGCCACAUCGACGAUGUGAAUAUGGCCGAAGAUGCGUACGCAUUGCCGGCGCGCAUACAGAAAUUAGCCGUCGAUGUUGAGAAUAUGCGUUUGGCCAUACAUAAUUUCCAAGGUGAACAGGAUUCGGUAUACAAUUAUUUUAGUGAUUUCAACCAAACACGUGCAAUGAUGUCGGCACAAGAUAUACAGGAACGUGAAAACCAAUUUAAGGAGCAGUAUCUCAUUUUGUCCGAACGCAAGAAGGUUGUUGUCACCGAUUUGCGACGCGUUAUCAACGAAUACGAUAUGAUACAAGAGCAAGUGAUAAUGGCUUUGAAAAUGUGGCAACGCAAUCAGGCUUUGGCUGGCAAUGGUGCGCCAUUCCACGACAAUUUAGAUGAGAUACAACGUUGUAUAGAGAUGUUGGUGGAUAUGAUUACUAAAAUUCAAUUAUACGUUACUAAUCUGCUCGCGAUGGGCGAAGAUCCGAUUCUGACAGAUUUGCUAAAUCAUGUUCGUUCUACACAAAAAAUUCUGGUGUUGUCGGCUUUUAUAGUCGAACGUCAGCCGCCACAAGUGAUGAAAACACAUACGAGAUUUGCCGCCGCUGUACGAUGGUUGAUUGGCCCACAGCUGGAGAUAUACAGAACUAAUCCAACUAUAGAAUGUGUUAUACUCUCAGAGGCCCAAGCUCAACGGCACGCCGCUCAUAAUAGCAUUACGGACAUGCAAACCGCCGCUCCGCCGCAAUCUUCUGGUGAAAUUUUAAACAACGUCAGCUCUAUGGAAUUCCAACAGGCCACACGAGUAUUCUCAGCCAGUUUUAGAAAUAUGCAAUUGAAAAAAAUUAAGCGGGCCGAAAAAAAAGGCACCGAGAGUGUUAUGGACGAGAAGUUCUCUUUACUCUUCUACACAACUGUCGUUUUCAACGAAUUCAAGAUAAGUUGCUGGACACUUUCUUUGCCAGUUGUUGUGAUUGUGCACGGCAAUCAGGAGCCACAGUCCUGGGCCACAAUCACUUGGGAUAAUGCAUUUUCCGAUAUUACGCGUGAACCCUUCCAAGUGCCAGAGAAAGUACGCUGGCAGCAAUUAUCUGUGGCUUUGGAUACGAAGUUUGGUUCGGCGACAGGAAGAAAUUUAACCGAAGAUAACUUGAACUUUCUAUAUGAGAAACUUUUCCGCAACGAAGCUGGCGAGCAUAAUGAGUUCAUAACUUGGGCUCAGUUCUGCAAAGAACCUCUACCAGAUCGAGCAUUUACCUUCUGGGACUGGUUCUUUGCAAUAAUGAAAUUGACCAAAGAUCAUUUAUUGAAUCUGUGGAAAGAGGGUCUUAUUGUUGGUUUCAUAAACAAGCGCAAGACUUUGGAAGAAAUUUUACCUAUGCAACAAUAUGGCACAUUUUUACUGCGCUUCUCCGACAGUGAAUUGGGUGGUAUAACUGUGGCUUUUGUCGACGAUCAAGGUAAUAAACUUAUGCUGGCACCUUGGACGUCGCGUGAUUUAAAUAUACGUUGUUUGGCGGACCGCAUACACGAUUUGAACGUUUUGCGUACUGUCUUUCCAAAGAAUCUGGCACGUGAUGAGGCGUUUGGAAACUUCUACUCACACCACGUCGCAGAACAAACAACACGUGAUGGCUAUGUUCCGAAUACAAUAAGGGCACACGUGCCGGCCAUAGAGGGCGGUUCCGUGGUGGGCACUCCUCAGCAUCAACCGCAAGAUAUAUCAAUACCGAAUUUUAGUGAUUUUGAUUCAAUAAUUUAUGAUGGAUGCGGAUAGAUACACACACACGCAGUGAUAUACAUAUAUACACACGUUAACAAAUUGAUUGAAAGGAAAAAGGAAAAAAAAAUUAAUAACAAUAAAAAACAACAACAUAAUUUAUACGAUAAAAUACAUUUUAACUAUUUGCCAUCAUAUAAAGCGUAUAAUUGCUUAGAAACUGCCGCUUUUCUAUGAACUUUAUGACUUUUACAAACAACAAAAACACGGAUUUGCAUAUAUUCACAUAAACGGAAGUGAGAGUCAAGAGUUCCUCAGUAAAGUAGGCCAGUGUAUUAGUUAUUAGCAAUCAUUAACCGUACACACAUCUGUCCACACAAUUAACUACCGUUAUUAAAUUGUCGAGCAAUAUUUUCAAAACUACGGGGCUGUGUAUAUUUAAAAAUUGCUGUCUCUGAGCGACUUGUAAGCCAUCGUUAAACACACAAAAGCAGUAAAGCAAAAUGCCACUAAUGGUUUGAAGGAAGUAUGUUCAAAACGAGAGAAAACAAAAACACAAAGAGAACGCGUUAUUGAAAUAUUCUACGAAGGGAUACUUUGCUGUUUUAUCAGUUUGUGAGUGUAUGUGUACACUUUCAUGUCGCUAGUCGAUGCUGAAUAUGAUAUGAUAUUUACAUUAACCGUUAUGCAUGCUGUACCGCCUUGAAAUUUUAUAUUUAGUCUAUAUCUUCUCUCCAAAAACAUACAAAAAAAAUAUUUUUUUUUAAAUUUUUGUAAUGUACACUAAAUUUCUUACACUCUUCGAAACACUUGUAACUACCGUUAGUGGUAAAUAACUUAUAGUAAGUGUAAUAGUUUUAUACUCGCCGUUGCCUUAUAUAAUUAUAUUAAAUUUUCACUUUUUUUGUGUUCUGUAAAUCUAUUUUUAAUAGUCAAAUGAACUUUUCAAUGUUGCGGAUGCUUGAAUACUUGAAUUCUCUUUAUCACUGGUACUUGUUGUUUUGUGGUUAACUGAAUGUAAUUGCAAAAAAAAAAAUUUAAAUAAAUAAUUAUAAAUAUAUGCAUGCCAAUUGGUGAAAAUAUAAAGAGUCCACAGCAUAAAAUUAAA
Molecule: RNA transcript, 4201 nt
Organism: Bactrocera tryoni
Lineage: Eukaryota; Metazoa; Arthropoda; Insecta; Diptera; Tephritidae
Gene name: signal transducer and transcription activator-like
Exons: 12
Source: RefSeq, a predicted model, not a curated record